RNAcentral lists this long non-coding RNA (1490 nucleotides) under Piliocolobus tephrosceles (Ugandan red Colobus). Its description in RNAcentral is "lncRNA (ENSPTEG00000013342.1)". Lineage: Eukaryota; Metazoa; Chordata; Mammalia; Primates; Cercopithecidae. The record is from RNAcentral.
ACAGCUGGUAUGGAAGAAACAGCUGGUAUGGAAGAAACAGCUGGUAUGGAAGAAACAGCUGGUGUGAAUAAAACUGAUAUGGAAGAAAUAACUGAUAUGAAUAAAAGUAAUGUGUCAUUACUAACUGCAAAGAAUAUAGAAGAUGUUAAUCCUACUUUCGAAAAUAUAUUUAAAUUUGAACAUAUAUCUACAAAAUUAAAUGAUUUUAUGUAUGUAAAUAAAAAUGAAAAUAUUGUUUCCCCACUUAUACAAAUAGCUCCUAUGAUAAAUGUGACGAAUAGACAUUUCCGAGCACUAGUUAGAAUGCUUACUAAAAAAGCACAAGUAUGGACAGAAAUGUUAGUAGAUAAUACUUUAUUAUAUAACUUAGACAAUUUGGAUGAAUAUCUUGGAUUUAAUAAUAAUGAGCAUCCUAUUGUUUGUCAGUUAGGAGGGUCUGAUACUACAUCUUUAGCAGAAGCAGCGAUUUUAGUUGAAAGAGCAGGCUAUGAUGAAAUUAAUUUAAAUGUAGGUUGUCCAAGUAUGAAAGUUGCUAAUAAAGGUGCAUUUGGAGCAUAUUUAAUGAUAAAUCCUGAACAAGUUAGAAAUAUUGUUUAUGAAAUUAAAAAAAAAGUACAAAUACCUGUUUCAGUAAAAAUAAGAACAGGUGUUGAUAAUUAUGAUUCGUUUUCUUUUUUAAAAAAUUUUAUUAACAUAGUAUCUUCAUCAGGUUGUAAUCAUUUUAUUGUUCAUGCAAGAAAAGCAUGGUUAAAAGGAUUAAACCCAAAACAAAAUAGGGAUAUACCACCAUUAGAAUAUAAAAAAGUAUAUGAUUUAUGUAAAUUAUAUCCACAUUUAAAAUUUACAUUGAAUGGUGGAAUAAAAACAAUACAAGAAGCAAUUGCUUUAUUAAAUGGAUAUAUACCACAAACGAAUAAUUAUGCAGACUCAAACAACGAUAUUAAUAAUGGCACUAACCAGUUAAACAAUAAAAAAAAUAAAAAAAUUAAUAAAUCAGAUAAAAAACAUGAGAAUAAUUAUAUAGAAAUUGAAAAUUAUCAUACAAAUGUAUUAAACGGUGUAAUGAUAGGUAGAGCAUGUAUGGAAAACACUACCAUAUUAUCCCAAAUCGAUAAAUUAAUUUAUAAUGUUGAUACACCUGACACAGCAUAUAGUAGAAGAACUGUAUUAAAUGCUUAUCAAUUGUAUUUAGAACAAAAUCCAAUUUUUUCAAAACUAUCCAGUGCUUUUGAAAUAUUAAAACCGAUUUUAGGUAUAAUGAAAGGUAUGCCAGGUCACCGAAUUUAUAGAAACAAAUUAGAUACAUAUAUAAGGAAUUAUUCAACUACUCUUAACUGUUCUGAAAUUUUACAAAAAGCUAUUACAGAUGUUGAUAAAAUUGCCCCAGGUUGUUUGGAUUUACCUUUACAUGAUUAUGAGAAGCAACAAGAGUAUAUUAAAAAUUAUUAAAUUAAAAAUUAUUAAAUAAAAAAAGUGCGGAAACAGAAACA